AUCCAGCUGACGAGUUUCAAAUAAGAUGAAACGCGCGUCAAAUCGGAU
This 48-nucleotide non-coding RNA is filed under the name Schistosoma curassoni. The record is from RNAcentral. Lineage: Eukaryota; Metazoa; Platyhelminthes; Trematoda; Strigeidida; Schistosomatidae.